AAGUCGUAACAAGGUUUCCGUAGGUGAACCUGCGGAAGGAUCAUUAACACGUAUCCAAACGUUAAACAACCCCGUGAACAUACAACCUGCUCUGGUCGCCCGCUCGCAUGGACAAGCCCAGUAAAUCAAGCCCCGGAAAGUUUUUGAUUUGGGACCUCUGUGCGCGUGAGAAAAACUGACAGCGAUUGACCAAGUGACCAGUGAAUGAAAGUGUCGCUGGAGCGUCAAGGACGACUCUUCAAGAUUGCUAGAGGUCGACCACCGACCGGCUUCCGUGUAUACUGAGCUUAACAUCGCUCCCUUCCGAACCCCACUUCGGAUGGGCAGGCCCCCCGAACAACUGUUAACAAUGGAUAUCUUGGUUCUC
RNAcentral lists this unclassified non-coding RNA (367 nucleotides) under fungal sp. RNAcentral describes it as "partial internal transcribed spacer region". The stretch from base 1 to 46 matches the Rfam family "Eukaryotic small subunit ribosomal RNA", at positions 1786 to 1831 of the family's 1831-position model. Lineage: Eukaryota; Fungi. The record is from RNAcentral.